RNAcentral lists this ribosomal RNA (253 nucleotides) under uncultured bacterium. Its description in RNAcentral is "partial 16S ribosomal RNA". It matches the Rfam family "Bacterial small subunit ribosomal RNA", at positions 524 to 776 of the family's 1533-position model. The record is from RNAcentral.
UACGUAGGGUGCAGGCGUUAAUCGGAAUUACUGGGCGUAAAGCGUGCGUAGGCGGUUUGCUAAGACAGAUGUGAAAUCCCCGGGCUUAACCUGGGAACUGCGUUUGAAACUGGGAGACUAGAGUGCGGCAGAGGGGGGUGGAAUUCCACGUGUAGCAGUGAAAUGCGUAGAUAUGUGGAGGAACACCGAUGGCGAAGGCAGCCCCCUGGGCCAGCACUGACGCUCAUGCACGAAAGCGUGGGGAGCAAACAGG